CGAUGAGGUAGAGGCGCAUUUAGUAUCAGUAACUACUCCGAGGAUGACAACGUUGAAGGGUGGUGAAAGGGCUACUUGCCGAAGUGUGUAUGGGUGUCCGCUUAUACAUGCUGGUGUUUCUUUGAAUAAGGGACUCACUGUCAUGCAAGCCGAACGAUUGGAUUGCAUGGAGCGCUACUGAUCGA
Molecule: non-coding RNA, 185 nt
Filed under: Pontibacillus halophilus
Lineage: Bacteria; Bacillati; Bacillota; Bacilli; Caryophanales; Bacillaceae
Also listed under: 1 other name
Description: Lysine sequence
Rfam family: Lysine riboswitch aptamer
About the family: Riboswitches are metabolite binding domains within certain messenger RNAs that serve as precision sensors for their corresponding targets.
Source: RNAcentral